CCUACGGGUGGCUGCAGUGGGGAAUAUUGGACAAUGGGGGCAACCCUGAUCCAGCCAUGCCGCGUGUGUGAAGAAGGCCCUCGGGUUGUAAAGCACUUUCAGUGAGGAAGAACGCCUGGUGGUUAAUACCCAUCAGGAAAGACAUCACUCACAGAAGAAGCACCGGCUAACUCCGUGCCAGCAGCCGCAGUAAUACGGAGGGUGCGAGCGUUAAUCGGAAUUACUGGGCGUAAAGCGCGCGUAGGUGGCUUGAUAAGCCGGUUGUGAAAGCCCCGGGCUCAACCUGGGAACGGCAUCCGGAACUGUCAAGCUAGAGUGCAGGAGAGGAAGGUAGAAUUCCCGGUGUAGCGGUGAAAUGCGUAGAGAUCGGGAGGAAUACCAGUGGCGAAGGCGGCCUUCUGGACUGACACUGACACUGAGGUGCGAAAGCGUGGGUAGCAAACAGGAUUAGAUACCCGAGUAGUC
This 465-nucleotide ribosomal RNA is filed under the name Vreelandella stevensii. Its description in RNAcentral is "partial 16S ribosomal RNA". It matches the Rfam family "Bacterial small subunit ribosomal RNA", at positions 338 to 795 of the family's 1533-position model. The record is from RNAcentral. Lineage: Bacteria; Pseudomonadati; Pseudomonadota; Gammaproteobacteria; Oceanospirillales; Halomonadaceae.